AUGUGCCAGAGAGGUCCAACUCCUCAAGGUUGGGCAAUGCACGCAAGAACAUGUGUUGCAAUUGAGCAAAACCCUUCAGAUAUAUCCUUCUCACCAUUGCUUCUUGAACUAAAGCAGUGCGAGACUUGGGACGUUAUUCCGCCUUUGGAAGUUGUAUGGGAUGUGUCCACUUCUUUGCUUCUUUGCUGGACCAUAACCAUCGAAGCUAAAACUCUCGAGCAGUGGAGGGGCUCCUUCGAGCUCAACAUGCCCCAAGCUCAAGCAUCUUCAAGCACCAUGUUGAUGAUAUUGCCGGCAAUGAUUUCAUAUGAAUGUUACCCGACAAGUCAAGGAGCUCCAGUUUCAUCAUAUCAACGGAAGGGCAGGUGUCCACUGUGA
Molecule: ribosomal RNA, 378 nt
Filed under: Triticum aestivum (bread wheat)
Lineage: Eukaryota; Viridiplantae; Streptophyta; Magnoliopsida; Poales; Poaceae
Description: partial small subunit ribosomal RNA
Source: RNAcentral